AGGACGAACGCUGGCGGCGUGCUUAACACAUGCAAGUCGAGCGGAAAGGCCCUUCGGGGUACUCGAGCGGCGAACGGGUGAGUAACACGUGAGUAAUCUGCCCCUAGCUCUGGGAUAGCUCCGGGAAACCGGGAUUAAUACUGGAUACGACCACCUUAGACAUCUUUUGUGGUGGAAAGAAUUUCGGCUAGGGAUGAGCUCGCGGCCUAUCAGCUUGUUGGUGGGGUAACGGCCUACCAAGGCGACGACGGGUAGCCGGCCUGAGAGGGCGACCGGCCACACUGGGACUGAGACACGGCCCAGACUCCUACGGGAGGCAGCAGUGGGGAAUAUUGCGCAAUGGGCGAAAGCCUGACGCAGCGACGCCGCGUGGGGAUGAAGGCCUUCGGGUUGUAAACCCCUUCAGCAGGGACGAAGCGAAGUGACGGUACCUGCAGAAGAAGCGCCGGCUAACUACGUGCCAGCAGCCGC
This 471-nucleotide ribosomal RNA is filed under the name uncultured bacterium. Its description in RNAcentral is "SSU rRNA". It matches the Rfam family "Bacterial small subunit ribosomal RNA", at positions 26 to 518 of the family's 1533-position model. The record is from RNAcentral.